GUUACUGCUAUCGGUGUUCGCCUAAGCCAUGCGAGUCAUAUGUUCUUCGUGAACAUGGCGUACUGCUCAGUAACACGUGGAUAACCUGCCCUUGGGUCUGGCAUAACCCCGGGAAACUGGGGAUAAUUCCGGAUAACGCAUAUAUGCUGGAAUGCUUUAUGCGUAAAAUGGAUUCGUCCGCCCAAGGAUGGGUCUGCGGCUUAUCAGGUAGUAGUGGGUGUAAUGUACCUACUAGCCUACAACGGGUACGGGUUGUGAGAGCAAGAGCCCGGAGAUGGAUUCUGAGACAUGAAUCCAGGCCCUACGGGGCGCAGCAGGCGCGAAAACUUUACAAUGCGGGAAACCGUGAUAAGGGGACACCGAGUGCUAGCAUCAUAUGCUAGCUGUCCAGAUGUGUAAAAUACAUCUGUUAGCAAGGGCCGGGCAAGACCGGUGCCAGCCGCCGCGGUAACACCGGCGGCCCGAGUGGUGAUCGUGAUUAUUGGGUCUAAAGGGUCCGUAGCCGGUUUGGUCAGUCCUCCGGGAAAUCUGAUAGCUCAACUAUUAGGCUUUCGGGGGAUACUGCCAGGCUUGGAACCGGGAGGGGUAAGAGGUACUACAGGGGUAGGAGUGAAAUCUUGUAAUCCCUGUGGGACCACCUGUGGCGAAGGCGUCUUACCAGAACGGGUUCGACGGUGAGGGACGAAGGCUGGGGGCACGAACCGGAUUAGAUACCCGGGUAGUCCCAGCCGUAAACGAUGCUCGCUAGGUGUCAGGCAUGGCGCGACCGUGUCUGGUGCCGCAGGGAAGCCGUGAAGCGAGCCACCUGGGAAGUACGGCCGCAAGGCUGAAACUUAAAGGAAUUGGCGGGGGGAGCACAACAACGGGGUGGAGCCUGCGGUUUAAUUGGACUCAACGCCCGGACAACUCACCGGGGACGACAGCAAUAUGUAGGCCGGGCUGAAGACCUUGCCUGAAUCGCUGAGAGGAGGUGCAUGGCCGUCGCCAGUUCGUACUGUGAAGCAUCCUGUUAAGUCAGG
This 1019-nucleotide ribosomal RNA is filed under the name uncultured archaeon. Its description in RNAcentral is "bacterial SSU rRNA". It matches the Rfam family "Archaeal small subunit ribosomal RNA", at positions 23 to 1038 of the family's 1478-position model. The record is from RNAcentral.